This 498-nucleotide ribosomal RNA is filed under the name uncultured bacterium. RNAcentral describes it as "partial 16S ribosomal RNA". It matches the Rfam family "Bacterial small subunit ribosomal RNA", at positions 27 to 507 of the family's 1533-position model. The record is from RNAcentral.
GGAUGAACGCUGGCGGCGUGCCUAAUACAUGCAAGUCGAGCGAACAGACGAGGAGCUUGCUCCUCUGACGUUAGCGGCGGACGGGUGAGUAACACGUGGAUAACCUACCUAUAAGACUGGGAUAACUUCGGGAAACCGGAGCUAAUACCGGAUAAUAUAUUGAACCGCAUGGUUCAAUAGUGAAAGACGGUUUUGCUGUCACUUAUAGAUGGAUCCGCGCCGCAUUAGCUAGUUGGUAAGGUAACGGCUUACCAAGGCAACGAUGCGUAGCCGACCUGAGGGGGUGAUCGGCCACACUGGAACUGAGACACGGUCCAGACUCCUACGGGAGGCAGCAGUAGGGAAUCUUCCGCAAUGGGCGAAAGCUUGACGGAGCAACGCCGCGUGAGUGAUGAAGGUCUUCGGAUCGUAAAACUCUGUUAUUAGGGAAGAACAAAUGUGUAAGUAACUAUGCACGUCUUGACGGUACCUAAUCAGAAAGCCACGGCUAACUACGUG